This 254-nucleotide ribosomal RNA is filed under the name uncultured bacterium. RNAcentral's name for it is "partial 16S ribosomal RNA". It matches the Rfam family "Bacterial small subunit ribosomal RNA", at positions 524 to 776 of the family's 1533-position model. The record is from RNAcentral.
UACGUAGGGUGCGAGCGUUGUCCGGAAUUAUUGGGCGUAAAGAGCUCGUAGGCGGUGUGUCGCGUCGGCCGUGAAAACCUGGGGCUCAACUCUGGGCGUGCGGUCGAUACGGGCAUCACUAGAGUUCGGCAGGGGAGACUGGAAUUCCUGGUGUAGCGGUGAAAUGCGCAGAUAUCAGGAGGAACACCGAUGGCGAAGGCAGGUCUCUGGGCCGAUACUGACGCUGAGGAGCGAAAGCGUGGGGAGCGAACAGG